This is an RNA transcript of Setaria italica (foxtail millet), 1592 nucleotides long. RefSeq lists it as uncharacterized. Lineage: Eukaryota; Viridiplantae; Streptophyta; Magnoliopsida; Poales; Poaceae. The record is from RefSeq and is a predicted model, not a curated record. The transcript has 10 exons.
GAGUUCCAUACCUGUGGUCUGUCAUCUGUGGAGCACACCGCACAUGCGCGCACUCCCUCCCCCCUCUCUUCUGCCCCUCCGUCCAGCUUCCGUCUCCGGCCGGCGAUGGUGACAGCCGCCGCCACCUCCACGUCGCUCCGGCCGUCGUAUCCAUCCCCGCCUCGCUUCGCGAGUUUGCCCCGUCGGUGGUGUUGGGGGAUUCUGGUGCAUCCCGCUGGGCUGAGUGCGUUCCAUGCGGAGCGGCGGAGGCGAACUUAUGAAGCACUUUGUUAUGCGCUGCUGAUAAAGCUCCUGAAGAAUCCCUGAAGAAGACAAUUGAAGUGGAUAGGCUGAUUGAUAUGCUGAGGGAUGCAAAUCCUAGAGAGCUUGAUCAAAUAGUGGUUGAAAAUGUUCUGGCAUUCGAUGCUGGUUUCUGGGUUCGGCUGGCAGCUAGAAUUGACAUCUGCAAAUCAGAUGAUGAUAAAAAAGAUUACGAAGAGCUGGCUGAAAAUGUCAUGAACAUUGUUGACAGGCUUGUUCACAAGACUGAUAUUGAACAGUCAACUGAUGUGCUGAAGGAAAUCAUCAGUCCGGCAAUUCAUGAAGGAGAUGUGAAGUGGCCACCAAGAGACCCAGACACUCUCAAAUUGAUGGAGAAAGAAAUAUCACGCCGAGAACAAGAGGGGCAGCUUGAUGAGGGAUUUCUGUCGGAAGUCAGUGCUCAGUUGAGGCUAAACAAGAUGGAGAUAAACCAGGGCUUCAAGCUAUGUUGCAAAAGGUGUUGCAGUUAUACGCGGCCACAUCUCUCCAAAAGCGGAGUUAGGCUUACAAAGGGUCUGGUUGCUGCUCAGAAAUUCUCUCUUUCUUUUGCAUUUACUAGUUAUGAUAUCUUAUAAAUAGAGAUUGUGCAAUGCAGCACAUGAGAAUGAGUGGAACAAGGUGCUACUUGAUGGACUUACAGUUGGAAAAGGAGAUGUUUCACCCGACGAACUUUAUGCUGUUAUUUGUAAGAGAACUGAGAGGGUCUUAAUUCGAACCGAAGGUGGUUCUUAUCAGCAACACGUUCUUGUCGAGUUUCUAAAAGAGAUACAAGCUAGAGCAAAGGAAGUUGUUAAAGUGCUUCAAGGACCAACGAUUUAAGGCCUGAUGGUCCCAUUUACAGGAUACAGGUUUUGCUCUCUUUGAGCAUAGUCUGAUGGGCUGAAGAUCAGAAAUCGUUUGACAGAAAACUAGAAGCAGGUAGGUACCACCUUUUUUUCCGCAUACAUCCUUUUUCGUGCGUGCUAACAGAUUCUGCCUUUGAGUUCAGAAUUUCAGAUACAUACACCUGAUGCUGGCUCCUGAUCAAGUGAUCAGUGAUCGCAAUGGAUUGAAACGACAGUCCACUCUCUCACGAGAACGAACGAUGUGGAGUCAGGAGCAGUGCGUGAUUGCAGUGUAUCGCGUGCGCUUAUCCUGAGUGGCACGCAUUCUAGUUUCCCUGUCCUUUAACGGCUAGCUAGAUUUGCUGUUGGGGUAAUGAAAUUUUGAAAGUUUCUGUCAGCUGAAAAACUGCGACACUACACAGAAAUUGCAUGAUCAAAUAUACUCAGUGAUGCAGAAUUGGGGAUUUA